Cricetulus griseus (Chinese hamster) is the source of this 110-nucleotide small nuclear RNA. NCBI's taxonomy places the organism in Eukaryota, Metazoa, Chordata, Mammalia, Rodentia, Cricetidae. The record is from Ensembl.
GUUUGCUUUAGCAGUACAUAAACUAAACUAAAAAUUGGAACAAUACAGAGAAUAUUGCAUGGCCCCUGAACAAAGGUAACACACAAAUUCGUGAAGCAGCCCAUGUUUUU